This 327-nucleotide unclassified non-coding RNA is filed under the name Hypoxylon ochraceum. RNAcentral describes it as "partial internal transcribed spacer region". The stretch from base 1 to 46 matches the Rfam family "Eukaryotic small subunit ribosomal RNA", at positions 1786 to 1831 of the family's 1831-position model. The record is from RNAcentral. Lineage: Eukaryota; Fungi; Ascomycota; Sordariomycetes; Xylariales; Hypoxylaceae.
AAGUCGUAACAAGGUUUCCGUAGGUGAACCUGCGGAGGGAUCAUUACUGAGUUACUAAAAAACUCCCACCCUUUGUGAAUUUACUCUUGUUGCCUCGGCGUUGGGAAGCACCUACCCUGGAGGAGCUACCCUGGAGGAGACCUACCCUGGAGAAGAUUACCCCUCAGCUGAGAGGACCUACCCUGGAGAAGUUUUUUUCCACAGCACCUACCCUGGAGAUGCACUUUACACCACGCCGGUGGACUUUAUAACUCUGUUUUUUCCACUGAAUCUCUGAAAAAAUAACUAAAUUAGUUAAAACUUUCAACAACGGAUCUCUUGGUUCUG